AGAAGCACACUGAAACCUAUCCAAAAGCAUCCCAGGAGGGCACACUGAGUGCCGCAUGGAGCCUGCACCACCAUGGGGAGGAAGCAGCCACCGCCUUCCUGAAUCCCCACCAGGCAGAAACAUCUCUCCCGUCUUUGAACUUCACCACGCCGUGCAUCUUCCUCUGGGUGUGCAAUCGUCACCUGCGUACAUGAUUGAUUCUGCCCCCAACACUAGACUCAGGCAGAAAGAACUCAAAGCUCAGAUGGUCAGGGUCCUGUUGGUUCAUCAAGCUCAGCCUGCCUGGAGGCAGCCACUGUGUUGUUCCCUCUCUUCGUCCUCCCUCUGCACUCUCUCUUGCCACGGGACAUUUGCACAAGCAGUUCCCUCUAACUGGAACACUAAGAAAUAUGGAAGUAAAAGGGGUUGGGAGAAAAGACAGGAGUCACAGGUGACUGUGUGGGAUGAGGAGAGUCGUGAAAACUUUUUUUUUUUUUUUUUGAGAUGGAGUCUCGCUUUGUCACCCAGGCUGGAGUGCCAGUGGUGCCAAUCUCGGCUCACCGCAACUUCCACCUCCCAGGUUCAAGCAGUUCUCCUGCCUCAGCCUCCUGAGUAGCUGGGAUUACAGUUGCCUGCCACCACGCCUGGCUAAUAUUUGUAUUCUUAGUAGAGAAGAGGUUUCACCAUGUUGGCCAGGCUGGUCUCAAACUCCUGACCUCAGGUGAUCCACCUGCCUCAGCCUCCCAAAGUGCUGGGAUUACAGGCAUGAGCCACUGCACCCGGCCGAAAACAUUAAGAGUAGGUGGAUGUUACUUUGGACACCAAAUGAAGAAGUGUGCCGAGCUGAAAGAGAAAAGGAGAAGAAAAUGGACAUGACAUUUACGGGGUUCCUCUUGCAGAGAGAGAACCGUGUAGAAGGUAAGCUCUCACUACUGAGUUCAAGUCCCAGACAUAAUACUUGCUGGCUGUGUGGCCUUGGGAAGGCCCAUGAGCACUCUCAGUGAAAGUGAAACUGGGAAGUUUCUGCUUUGGAGAGAUUUUCUCACAAAUGAGAUGAGUUAUCAUAUACCAAGCCCUUAGAGCACGGCCUGGCUCACAGGAAGCCAACAGUAAGUGUGGGUCAUUAUCAGCGCUGUUGUUAACUGGGGGUAAUAACAGGGGCCAGGGGCCAAGAGGCUUUAUCUAGCCCUAUUUCAGAGGCAAAGAAAUGAGGGUGAAAAAGUUCAGGGGCCUGCCUGCAGUCACACAGCAGAGCCAGAUAUGAACAUCGACGUUUUGGCUUUCAAGGUCCACACCCGCCGUAUCCUACUGCACGGUGCUGGAAGGCACAUGGAAGACUAUUGCAGCCCAAUCUUCUCAUGACAAAGACAGGAAAAUGGAGCCCUCUAAGAGAAAGUGACUGAUCCACCCUUAUGCUCUUAAAUGGUAAGCGUCCAGGGAUCAUCCAAGUUAAGAUGGCCCACACGCAGCUGGCAAGGCAGGACCCGAGGCUGAAUGAGACGUACAAUUGGCUCCACGGUACUGGCAGAACCCACAGCUAGUUUUCAAUGCUGAGAACUGUCCAUCCUGGCAGAGGCUCACUGCCCUCUGUGCCCUCCCUGGUUGCCUGGGCAGAUGGUGAGCUCUGGUUGCCAAGGAGCCCGCGUUGGCAGUUCUGAAAUGGGGUGCGUCAGCAGCCUCGCUCCAGCGGCUUCCCACAUCCUUGAGUAACCACCACACAAAGGUGCUGGGCAUGAGACCAAGGGUGCGGCGGAGAUCGAAUUAGUAAUACACACUCGGUGACCCUCCCCAGCCAGGUUUCACUGCGUGCUUAUGACCAACAUUCAUCCCUUCCUUAGCAUCUGUGGUGUCUUUAAGGGCCAAGUAAAAAGGUAAAACUGCAGGGAGUCAGGAGGGGGAAACUGGCCUGGGGUACAGAGUCCCUCACAAUGAAAAUAUAUGUAACUGGCUACUUGUAGGUCAUGAUGCAUUAAGUGAUCCUGUCAAAAGUUGAAAGUGGGCUACAGUGGGACAGGCAAUGCCCAGAGGGAGGCAGAAAGGUGUAAAUAAUCCGAGGUGAAUGUGGGUCUUGUUGGCAUGGUAGAUUUAUGCCCUGCCUUCAUAAUGUACCCUUUCAUCUUGGGAGCCUGGAUUCCAAAAAUCUAGUCUAGACAGGAAUUGAUGGUGCUACCUCUCAGCUUACAUCGUUCAAGGUUUCUCAACACCAAAGACUCCUGAAUAUUGAUGGGAACAACCCACUUAGCCAGGGGAUAUUGCUCAGAACUCAGGAGGCCAAAGGCAUCAUUCUUCCAGGCACGGAGGCCCUGCUCAGAAACAGCCCUACAGAGGCAGAGUCACUCAUUCUGGGGGAUGACGCUGCCUUUUGUCUUCAUCUCCCCAAGUGGGAGACAAGUCCCAUCACGCCUGCCACCUGGCAGUCAGCCUUGCGCCUUCUCUUUCGUCCUUUUCAUGUGUGCUCCGUGCCGGUUUCAGCAGCUUUCAUCAGAGACUGAAACUACCACCACUCCCAUCACCUCCCAGGGCCAUGGGCAGGCCCUGGCUGACAGAUCCAGGCCUAGGAGCCUGGGCAACGAUAAAUAGGUGGUUGGGAGGACCUCUCCGAGCCCCCUUCUCUGCCCAGGCAGGCUUUCUCCUUGGGUGGCCAGAGCCAGGGCCCAGGAUCCCCUGCUGCAAGAACUGAGAGGCUGAGGGGCUUCACUCCUGAGGAAGGUCCUCUCUUCCUAAUCCCCGUGCUUUGGGCCCAGCAAAUUCAGCCUGGGAACUGGGGGCUGCUGUGGAAGAGAGAUGGAGCUAGGGAGCAUUUAUAGUGCAGCACCUGAGGCUGAGCAGUGACAGAGCUGCGGGCCUGAGAAUUACAAAACAGACUUAAACAGAUGAAAUAUUGCCCAGGCAUGGUGGCUCUUGCCUGUAAUCCUAGCACUUUGGGAGGCCGAGGCAGGCGGAUCACUUGAGGUCAGGAGUUUGAGACCAGCCUGGCCAACAUGGUGAAACCCCAUCUCUACUAAAUAUUAGCUGGGUGUGGUGGUGGGCACCUGUAAUCCCAGCUACUUGGGAGGCUGAGGCAGGAGAAUUGCUUGAACCCGGGUGGCAGAGGUUGCAGUGAUCUGAGAUCGUGCCACUGCACUCCAGCCUGGGUGACAGAGCCAGACUCUGUCUAAAAAAAAAAAAACAAAACAAAACAACAACAACAACAAAAACCCAUGAAAUAUUAACUGAUGCAGGGAAAACAGACAAAAACUAUACAUGCUCAAAACAAAACGAAAAAGGGCACAGGGCUCAGAAACCAGUUUGUCGUCUUUGUGAACAGCUGGGAACUCUGACUCAUGCACUGUCCCCUGUUCUCUAUGCCACAGGAAUGAGGCAGCAAGAGGCCAGAUUCUGCCGGAGACAGAGCAGAGAGCCAAACCAUCGCCACUUAUUGGUGCAUGAACCUGGGCAAGGCAGGGGUAUCCCUGAGCCUCAGCUUCCUUGUUUGCAAAAUGGUGACAUGCCUACUUCCAGAGCUGUUGUUAAGGUUAAAUGAUGACGCAGUUUACCAUAUGCCAGGCACAUAGUAGGCACUAAAUAGUUGCAAUUAUUAGCCCUGAGCAAACAUUGCUCAGCCAUUCCCUUGUAAAGCCUAUUCUCAAACCAACUUUCCAUGUGGACGUUCAAUCAUCUUUCUGGAUGACCUCGCCUUACCCAUUGCCUCAGAUUCUGUGUGUGUGUGUGUAUAGAAGAAACAAAGAAAAAAAGUGCUUUUCACAUAGUGAGGACAUUUCCCCAUCCUAUGAGUCUGUGUAUGUGUGUGCAUAUGUAUAUGUAUGUACACACACACACACACACACACACACACACACACACACACUGCCCCGUGGAAUAGGCAGGACGGGGUUGCAUUUCCCCUCUUUUAAAGGUGAGGAUGCUGAGCCUCAGAAAGAUCAAGUGACCUGAACAAAGUCACACAGCCAAUGUGUUUCUCCAAAAGAAAUGACCAGGAGUCAGUGUUUCUUUAUACAAGGGUGUCCAAUCUUUUGGCUUCUCGGCCACACUGGAAGAAGAAGAAUUGUCUUGGGCCACACAUAAAGUACACUAGCACUAAUGAUAGCUGAUGAGCUAAAAAAAUAAAAAUAAAAAUCACACACAAAAAACAGUGUUUUAAGAAAGUUUACAAAUUUGUAUUGGGCUACAUUCAAAGCCGUCCUGGGCCAUGGGUUGGACAAGCUUGCUCCACCAUAAACACGUGAUGAACAGACAUUGAAAUCGUACCUUUAGGGCUGUUUUAGGAACACAAGAGGCAUCAUCUGGCUAUCUUGAGAAAGCAGAUUUCAAUUUUCUAUUCAUUAAAGAAAUGUGCUUCCAUCUACCUUGAAAUCAUUUUGAUGAUUUCCAGAUUCAAGUCCCUGAAUAAAUUCCAGGGAAAGUCACGUCACGGGACAGAAUGGCCGUCACCUUGAAAAAAAAUUAUUUUCUCCUGGAGGCACUACUGAGGCUCAGCGAUCCCACGUCUGCCACUCCCUCCUACUGCAUGUGGUAUCCCUGAGUCUCCGCUCAGGGAAAACAGACAAAACUACACAUGCUCAAAACAGAACAAAAAUGGGAACAGGGCUCAGAAACCAGUUUGUCUGGUUCCAGUCAUUUCCACCGCAAUGACAGAUCCAGUGACCUUGGCAGCCCUCAUCCAUUCACCACAUCUUCCCAUUACCACCUAACGUGCCCCUCCCAAUAGCUCCGUGUGGUAGAGGCUGCACACAGGCUCAGGAUUCCCACUUCACAGGUGAUAAUGUCAAGGUGCAGUGACAUGCAGCUUCUUGUCCCAGGUCAGGUGUCUCAUGAUUGUUGAGCCACUGUCUUCUGACUCAGCCAGUGAUCUUUCCUUUGGACCACAACCCCUCUGAAAAGCACUGUGCUGAGAAACAUGGGUUUACUUUACCUAUUGCUAUUUUGUACGUUUGAAACGAUCUUUCCAAAACAGAUUUAAUAAUUGAAAGUUUUGCUCUCUGUUCCUUGGAGAAAAGGGACAUGCUUUGAGGAAGGAAUUGGAACCCGAACAGUCAUGUUUUAUAGGCAUUCAUGUUUAUUUCUCUGAUAUUAUGGCUUCCUCUGGAAAAAUCCAACCAACACAUCCGUUUCAAGUCUUGAGAAACUCCCAAAUGUUGACCAUGUGUCUGAUUCCUGUGUGGUCAAAAGAGUGAUGUUUCUUAAUGUCCACAACUUAUUUCCAUGUUAAAAUAAUUCCACGCUCAGCUAAAUCCCACUUACACACAAGUGUGCACCUGUUAAAAUAGGUCAUUUUUCACUGCUAAUCUUCCAGAUUCCAUGAGUAUGUGUGGGAACCCCAGACAAAUGCAACUUGAAUGUCACAAAAGGCAUUUUUCUUUGCUGAGUGACCCUGGUUGGCCCAGACACCCUGGGUGCCUUGCUCCCACAGAUUUGUAAAACUAAGGAAGAUCCCUUUCUGCUGAGAGAAUGGAUUGGAAUUAAAUCUUAGCAUAGAAGGCCUUGGGUGAAACUGUAUGGAAUUUUGUCUUACAACUGGGUUAUUUUUUAAUUAGAUUUUUGUCGAUCUUUUUUCAACUCUGAAGUAUGUCAGUAUGGAAACUCAGUAACUUUUCUCAAUGCUCCCCAUAAAGCUAAAAAUUAAAAAGAAGAGAAGAGAAAUAAAAAGGGAAAAAAUUAAAAUUUCAGAGCAAGAAGCUCUAGCCUCUGAGAUUUUGUUACUGUUGCAAAAGUAAUAGGUCAUCUUUGCCACAACCUCAAUGCUAAAAAGUAGAUGCACAAAAAAGCAAUUUUUAUCCCAAAGUCUUCUUGGCGAUGAGAUUUUUUUUCCUGCUUCAGAUUUGGCAUGCUUCCAGAAACCCAAGGGCCCUAAAUCAAUAUCAAGUGACCGCUUCCAACUCGUAAGAGCCUCUAGGGCUCAUUGCAAAUGUGGGCUCUGGGUUCCAGAGAGACAGGCUUAAAGAAAUUGAUGGCAAAAAUGGGAAGCUCUGUGGCUGACCUCAGUUGCAGGAUCCGUGCUGGGACAGCCUGUCCUCCGCUCCAUGAUUUGUGAGGGCCUGCCUGGUAUUGCUAAUCUUCCUGACAGUUUAGUUUGAAGAGAAAAGGGGCCAGUGGCACUGUAGGCAACAUCAGACAAGCCACAGAUCUCCUGGGAGAUCUAAGCUCUCCAGGAGGCAGAUAACAACAUUUUGCCUUUCCACGGGGUUGUUAAUAUACAUAUGAAUCCCAAAUACAAGAAUGGGCUCUUCAAACUGGUUUAUUUAAACACUUUUUCUGAGACACACGUUUCAAGAAGGGGAUAAAGAGGGUGUGAUGUGGAUCCUGUGCUGUCUUCAAAGAAGGGAAGGUGGACUGCUAUGUUUCUAGUGUAGAAUCUGGCACAGAAACCACCCAUAGCAGGUGCGCCACGGACCUGCUUUAGCUGGAAGGAUCCUUUCUACAUUCCUUCCACCACCUAGUGAGUGGCCACGUUGAUGAUGAGACCUGGGCCUUUAAAAAUCCUCUUUCAGGUCUCCAGCCAACCCUCUCCAUUCAACUCAGUUUCACAAACCUUUUCUUAGCAGCCACCCAUUCCCAAGGACUGUAGUGGGUGCCGCAGGGGAGACAGAGGUGAAGGAGACACAGUCCUUUCUGCUGAUUCUGCGGCUGAGUCAGCUGAUAGCCUACGUCUAUUUGCCAAGAAUAUGAUCAACUGAGUGAAAACAACAAAAUAAAAAACGCUGAGUUGGGGAGAUGACUCGACUCGGGAGGAUAAUGAGAAUGUCCAAGCUGUGAGUCCCCUGGAGGCCAAGGCAAGUUUGCAGCUGGCAUGGUAACAGCAGGGUGGUUGCUGAGGGAAACUGAAACCAUGUCACAUGGAAAAGAUUUGUAGGAGUGGAGGGCCUUUGGCCUGGAGAAGAAAAGCCUUGGAGAACAGAAAGGCUGGUUUCACAUACCUGAGAGACUGCCAUGGGGAAGACCCAUACUUUGUUCUCUGGGGCCCCAGAGGGGGCCCACCAUAGAACAGGACUAUGGUGGGGAUACGUAGGGGGACCGAUUGCAGCUCGAAAUUGCGAAGUCCUGUCCUUGUCAGAGCUGUCCCAGGUGGAGUGGGAUGUACCAGGAGGUGGUGAGUUCCUGUCAUUGCAGGGAUUUCAGUCGGGGUGGAGAGCCCACUAAACAAAGACGCUGUGGAGAAGAACCAAGCAUGGAGGAGGGUGGAGGGCCUGAUCUUCUAAGCUUCACUCUCUGCCUGGGAGUCUUCGAUUCCUCCCUCCUCUUACUAUAACUUAAUGAGCUGCUAACGCCAACACCUGGCUUCUUAUUCAAACAUGCUUAAAUGUGAACGGGGAAGACUGGCAUCAGAGGUGGGCAGAUUAACAACAAACUCCCUCAGGGGUCUCCAAAAUGAGAGAGAAGGGACAAAGGCAGAAUCGUUCUGCGUGCCUGCAAGUUGGAUUUGGAGUCUCCACACUGUGCCUCUGGCCGUUGAACAGAAGAGGGGUCUCUUUGCUGUGUCUUUAGCAAGGUGACAAGCAAGAGAGCUGGGUAGCACAGCCUGGGGCUCACAGGCAGCAGAUCACCUUCAGCUCCCCAGGCCCCUCUGUCAUGGACUCAGGCCACUGCUGGGACUCAGUCACCAGGACAGGGAGAGCCCAGAGGGCACUGCUCCACAGGGUGGGCACAGCAAACAGCCCUUCCCCACACUCCCACUCUUCCCGGCAGAGAGGGUGCCUGCGGUGUGACUCGAGGGAACUCGGCCUAUUCAUCUCACCCGCUUCUGCCUAUCUCUCCACACACACUUUUGUCAUUGUUAAAACCAUGAGCAGCUUUUUCCUGAUAUCACAGUCUAGGAAAUCGAUGCCUCGUUCAGUGAGCCAGCACUUGCUGUGCUCUUGCCACAGGUUGGGACUGUGUGGAUGGAUGCCCCAUUGCUUAGGGAGCACAGAGGAGGGACCUAGCUCGGGCUGGGGCUUUACAGAAGGCUUCCGAGAAGGGAUGUCAUUGGCCUGACUCUUAAGAGGAAGGAAAAGAAGAGCACCAAGUACAAAUGAUUAGCACUACUCAUCAGCAAAUCAGGAGACUGGGCGUGUAGGGAGAUGAGGCUGAGGAAGUCACUCUGAACACACACGAGGGGCCUGAUUGUCACCUGAAAUGCCUGAUGUUUUCCUGUUGGUUAUGGGAAACAGAGGGAUGACAUAGAUUGAUUUAUAGAGAUUUUUCUGCCUGCAUCAAAGGCAUCAUAAACAAGAGGGUAGGACUAGUGGCAAAGAAACGAGUCAGAAUUGUUUAGUCGAGACAUGAGAAGACCCUGAGCUAGCUCAGUGGUAGCAGGGUGGAAAGGAAGGGACCAAAAGGAGAAAUAUUUUGGAUUUAAAAAUUAACAAGACUGUCCAACAAAUAGAAGAUACAGAGACAAAUGAUUCAAUAAGGCAAGGGUCAAAAGACUUGAACAGGCACUUCACAAAAGAAGAUAAUGCCCAAUUAAGCACAUGAAAGAGUGUUCAACAUUAAAUAUCAGGGAAAUGCGAGUUAAAACUACAGUAAGACAGCAGUUCAUACCCCUUAGAAUGGCUAAAAUCAAAACAAAUGAUCAUACCAAGUGCUGGUGGGAAUGUGAGGAACCUGGAACUCUCAUGCACUGCUGGUGGGAGAGGCCAAUGGCAGAAACUCUUUGAAGGACUCUGAGAGUGUCUUAUAAGUGUACAUCUACCCUAUAAGCAAGCAAUUCCACUGCUAGGUAUUUGCCCAAGAAAACUAUGUUUAUACAGACUUGUAUAAGAAAAAUAUGUUCCCAAUAAAAUUGUAAAGAAUGUUUAUGGCAGUCUUAUUCAAAUAUUGAAGAACUGGCAGCAACCCAGAUGUCCACCAGGAAGUACAUGGAUAAACAACCUAUGGUAUGUCCAUAUAAUGGAAUAUCACUAAGCAAUAGAAAGGAACAAACUAUUUAUAUAUUCAGUGUAACAUGGAUGACUGGCAAAACCAUUAUGGGAAGUGAAGGAAACCAGACCCAGAAUAGUACACACUGUAUGAUUCCAUUUACAUGAAAUCCAAAUGUAGACAAACGAAUAUAUAAUGUUAGACACCAGUUUGUGGGUUUAUGUAAGUGUUUUGGGGUGUUAGGUGGGGGGUUGUUGACCAGUUAGAGGCAUGAGGGAACUUCCUCAAAGAAUAGAAAUGUC
This 9119-nucleotide long non-coding RNA is filed under the name Homo sapiens (human). Its description in RNAcentral is "non-protein coding lnc-ATP13A4-2:4". The record is from RNAcentral. Lineage: Eukaryota; Metazoa; Chordata; Mammalia; Primates; Hominidae.